Molecule: ribosomal RNA, 84 nt
Filed under: Photobacterium phosphoreum
Lineage: Bacteria; Pseudomonadati; Pseudomonadota; Gammaproteobacteria; Vibrionales; Vibrionaceae
Description: partial 16S ribosomal RNA
Rfam family: Bacterial small subunit ribosomal RNA
Source: RNAcentral
UUUAAUUGAAGAGUUUGAUCAUGGCUCAGAUUGAACGCUGGCGGCAGGCCUAACACAUGCAAGUCGAGCGGUAACAGAAAGAAA